ACCAGACAUGCUACUGUAACUCUCAUGGUCAUGUGCUGGAAUUAGUAGAUGUUCAACUAUUUGGCCAUCUCGCUGACCUGUUGAUAUCAGAAGCAGAAGCAAAAGACAACAAAAAACAGAAGUGAUGUGGAUGCCUUCGCCUUAUAGCAUGACACUGUCGAUCUAACAACAAUGAGAAGGGCGUUCGACAUCAUCCUGCUAGUAAGGAUUCUUUAAGAGAACAGAGGAUUCUUGUGGCAGAGAUGGCCAACCAUUAUAAAUACCUUUCAACUCAUCCUGGUUCUUUCAGGGAACUGUCCUGCUUGUGUGCUACUGAAAAAUACGACAUGUGGCCUAAACGAAGAGGGGUUGAAAGGUCUGUGGAUCAUCAUUCUCAGAAAGCAACAAAGUAACUGAGAAAAAAAAAACUACGAUACGAGGGUGCAAGCUAGAGACCUGCAAGGUACCUGCAAGUUUUGGCCGUAGCAGAGAACAUACAUCUUUUAAAUAAAGCUCCAACUGAUGAGUAUGACAUUGACUACAGAUUUUCUUUUACUGAAAAGAAAGAAGACGAUGACCUUAACACUGAA
This is a long non-coding RNA of Danio aesculapii, 569 nucleotides long. RefSeq lists it as uncharacterized. The record is from RefSeq and is a predicted model, not a curated record. NCBI's taxonomy places the organism in Eukaryota, Metazoa, Chordata, Actinopteri, Cypriniformes, Danionidae. The transcript is spliced from 4 exons.